AAGAAAAAAAAACUCUUUGUUUAUUGUGAAACUAACUGCAGUAAUUCUUAUUCAAAUGUCUUUUUUCUGCCUGCUCGAACUGACACAUAGUACAGAAGUGUUGCUGGAGAAAGUAAAUGAAAUCUGUUCCUGUGAUUUUGCAGCAUUUCAUAUGUUAUAUUGCUUUCUGUUUUGGUGGACCAUUUUUGGUAUUUUUCUUCAAUGCUGCCUUGUCCGAACUUUUUCCGACUAAGCUAUAUGAGUGCUGGUGUUCAUAAUGGAGGAUUUGCACUAAUCUCAUCUGAAUUACUUUGUUGGUCUAUUGACUCUAUUGCCAUGCUUGUUGGUCUAUUGCCAUGCUUUACAUGUGUAGCUCAGGGUUGAAGAAAUCCCAUUUAUGACCUCAUGAACUGGUAGGAGUAUAGAAUGGGUUAAAAAAGGAAAAUCAACCGAAAACUGUCAUUUGAUUGCUGUUUCUUUAUUGAAUAAAUCUUAGUUACAUGAAAUGAGAGCGGCAGUGGGAGUGCUAGAGGAAUAGAAGACUUGAAGAUUAGGAGCUUGUGUCUGAGUGUGUAUGUUAAUUCUAGAGUCUAGACUUCUAGUAUAUAUGGGAAAACAUGAGUAUGUUACAGUGAUCUGUCAGCUGCAAAUGCUUUGGUAAUAUAGGUAAAUGUUAUGUACGAACUACUAGAGUAAACUUCGGGUAAUUCGUUUUGUAGUAUGUUAUUGUUGUGUCGUGCUGAUGUUCUCUGCCUUGGUGGCUCUCUUUUUUUCCUUUUUAGUUCCUUUUGGAAUUUUUAUGCUUGAUAGGCAGAUCCAGAUAAAUGAAAGGGAUGUCCUCUUUUGAGUGUGUAGCUGGUACGAGCCCCCUUCUGACAUGUAUCGGUCCCACUUUGAAAAGAUGAAAUAAGAUUUUCUUGUCUUUACUCGAGCGGAUUGGUGAGGAAAGCAACCGGGUGUCCUUGUUGGAAACCGAUUCUUUCUUGAUGGGAAUGAGAUUCUCGGGCGAUCCUUACUUGGGAGCAUGGGAAACAGGUUCCGGAGCGGAUUCGUCAUGCAUAGUAGAAGGAUUCUGCAACCAUGGAAUUGAUAAUCAUAUUAUUGAGCUAUUCUGGAAAGUAGAGGCUGUAGUUUGCGAUUUAUGUUGGCACUCCAGACAAGAUAGAAUAUGUGUCUAAGUUAUUCCUGACAAAUCUAUAAGGAAGACGAGGAUUAAUCUAGUCUGACGAGAUGUACGCCUGACGCCUAAAGGUUUGUGUCAUGUUUUGUGUUAAAGAUGCUUAUGAAUAUUUAAAUUUUUUGGUGCCGUCAGGAUUUUCUCAUCUAGUAUUAUCAAGAAUCAAGAUUCCCCUAUUUGGAUUGUAUAUGCAUGUUGACAGCAGAAACUGGUUUAAGAGGAUGGGGACCGAUAGUGCCAGGUUAAAUGUAAGACCCAAACAGAACAGCUGGGAAUUGGGAGCCAGACGAAGCCCCAUUUGCAAUUUUCGUAGUAAUAUUUCCCGGAAAAUAGUUUCUGCAUUUUGCAGUGUUCGGUGUAGUCAUAAAACCUUCAUUAAUGGUAGAUCCGAAAGUAUAGUAGUAGUAUUUUGUUUGACGUAGAUGAAACUCAAAAUACUGGUGUACCAUGAGAAUGAUCUCUAGAUUUUGAAGACUGCUAUAUCCGAUGAUGGAACUACCAAAGGGCUGAGUGGGACCUGUCCCCACCAGCCCCACCUUUUUUAUAUUUGCAUAUUUUAAAUUUUGCUAUGCUUUACAGAAUACAAA
Rhododendron vialii is the source of this 1743-nucleotide long non-coding RNA. RefSeq lists it as uncharacterized. The transcript is spliced from 2 exons. The record is from RefSeq and is a predicted model, not a curated record. NCBI's taxonomy places the organism in Eukaryota, Viridiplantae, Streptophyta, Magnoliopsida, Ericales, Ericaceae.